This is a long non-coding RNA of Microtus oregoni (creeping vole), 672 nucleotides long. RefSeq lists it as uncharacterized. The transcript is spliced from 2 exons. The record is from RefSeq and is a predicted model, not a curated record. NCBI's taxonomy places the organism in Eukaryota, Metazoa, Chordata, Mammalia, Rodentia, Cricetidae.
GCUUCCAGGGCUGGGAGACAGCAAGGAAAACCUUGUCACGCGAACAGCAACUGCUGAGCUGAGAUCCCCAGAACCCAGAUAAAUAGCCCAUUGCACUAAAGACGGGAAAAGGUCCACCAAACUCACGUCUCAUGGGAAGUUUCAGUUACUUGGCAAUCAAGAAACACCAAGGGAACAGGCAAGUGAAACUAGGAGUGGUUCAUCAUUUAACCUUCAAAAAAUCACGGGGAGGGGAUCGGCAUGCUGGGGCACACUGAAGUAACGGCGGAGAUGGAAUCCCCCCCACCCUGUGCACGACACAGUGCUGAGGAAUGGGAGCCAAGGAAACACCUGCAAUCCAGGCUGAGCUCUGCAAUGUAACAGUUAGGUGGAUCGGAAACCCUUGGAGCUGAACACACAUAAUUAUGAGAUCUGCUGAGCCGAGAAGGCACCAACCUAAUAUUCCUCUCUUCUGGGAAAUCUCAGGAGGCUCCUGGCUGGCAGAGCCCUCUUCCUCCUCCUGCUCCUCUGGCUCUCUACCCACACCUGUGUCUGACACCCAGCCCUGUCGGCUGUCAUUCUACAGGGAUGUCCACUCCCGCGUGCCCCCAAGACUCAUGGCUUUGUCUACAGCCUGACGUUCUUAGAGUUUUCCUGAGCAUGUUCGAGCACUAGAAUAAAAUUAUAAAUGUA